AGCACCUUCGGAACUGUCCUCA
This 22-nucleotide microRNA is filed under the name Gallus gallus (chicken). RNAcentral describes it as "gga-miR-1736-3p". The record is from miRBase by way of RNAcentral. Lineage: Eukaryota; Metazoa; Chordata; Aves; Galliformes; Phasianidae.